Osmerus eperlanus (European smelt) is the source of this 2805-nucleotide long non-coding RNA. RefSeq lists it as uncharacterized. Lineage: Eukaryota; Metazoa; Chordata; Actinopteri; Osmeriformes; Osmeridae. The record is from RefSeq and is a predicted model, not a curated record. The transcript is spliced from 2 exons.
AUGAGACUGCUCCUACUUCUGGGAAAGAUGGUAAAGUUACUGAACGCUCUUCCAAUGAGCCUGAGUUGCCAUGGUGAUGAGCCAGUUGGAGAGUCUGCAGGUUUGAUAGCAGGUAGACGCAGCACUCUUGUCAAGCUUGAUGUGAAGUAAGUAGCCUACAUAAAGAGCAGGAGUCAAAUAACCUCAAUGAAAAAUGUCUUUCUUUUUUUUCAUGUUUUACCUCAAACAUUCUAGGUUCCUUUCUUUUUAAUGUGUUAUCUGAAUACAAGUGAGGCAAUACUUGUGUUUAUUGUCACUGGUUGUCCGGGUGACGUUUUGGACAAGGACAUUCACUAAGGUGUGUCUGUGACUGGAACCAAAAAGGCUGUUGGUUGCAAUUUUGGCGGUACAGACACUUACUUGAAGUUGAUUUGCUUUCUGUUUGUAAUAUAGUAUAAGGGAUGUUUAAAGUAACCAUAUAGCAACGUUGUAUAGGCCUCCAGACAUGAGAUGCAGAAAAACGUAACGAAAAUACCAACUAAUUGUAAGAAACCUGUGGUAAAACUAUGUAGUUUAACUUGUAAAUAAUUUACGACUGAGGGGGGUGUAUCUUGUAGGUCAAAACGGUACAGGCAAGAAGCUGAUCUGAAUGGCAUAUGGCAAGAAAUUACGCGUCAAACACAACCCAAAGCUCUUCUAUUUUUGUCAUAUUUUCAUACUAUUUUUUUACCAAAACAACAACAACAAUACAAAUCUACAAAUAUUCCAAUAAUGACACUAUACGCAUUUGUCAUGUUUCUGAUCCUGAUGUAAUUCCGUCAGCAUGCCGUUGUAAACAACAUUCAGACAGGAAGCUCGUUUCCCAGACAGCUCCUUCAAUAAAAACGUAUUCGUACCUUCAUUGAAGACCACACACUUCUAUACACGCUGCCACGAUCAUACCUCUUGCCUGUUCAGAAACUAAUCGGUGUUAUGCUAUUACUGCGUCAAAUAUACUGGAAAGUACUGUUCUAUGUUCUUUUAAAAUAGAAAAUGUGAUAAGUUUAGAAGAACCCUGGCUCUGCCUGAGCAUAUUUAGCGUGAUUAAAUGUUGUAAUAUAUUAACGGAAACCGUGGUCUCUCCAUCCGUUCUUCCCUUUGGUCAGAAUACAUAUCUCACACAUCGAUGUGACCCUUCCACAUGGCGUUUCUCACGCAUUGCAGCAAGGCUUAAGAUGCUACUAUUUACCGCUGCUGUAGCUCUACCCACUGUGCUCAGAGGCGUAACCCGCGGCCGCUCUCCGGUCCUCCGACCUCGGCAGUGGAGCUGUGUGUUUGGCAUGCAACGCAUUUGUUGCCAUUAAACAAUAGGUGUAUGUGGUGCCUUGCUUUGGUCAAAACGCACACGGAACUUUCAUGUAGGCCUUCGGUGAAAUUGUCUAUCUUUACCUUUCUGGAAUCUGAAAUGAUGAAUGACAGUUGUCACUGUCACCGCAGUUUCAGUCAGGGGACUAGAACUGGGAAACUUAUUCUAACUUCAAUCCUAAUGUCAAUACAUGACGUAAGCACUGAGAUACUUUCAUAAACACAUUUCCAUGCCAGUGAAUUCGCUUCGUUACCAUGUGAUUCAAUCUCUGUUAUCUGACCGGGAAAAAGUAAAUGUCCUUACCAUCUGAAAUAGAGAUCUAUUUACUGUAGGCUAUGUGGUAGGCUACUACAUGUGGUUAUAUCGCCUCCUAGUGGAUCCAUUCCAAUCUACGUGGAGUUUAAAGAAGUGGUACUUCGGCUUUGGUGUGGGAGUGUAGUAUUAUAGCAUUUAAGGGUCUUUGUGGGUGGGGUAAAACAUAUAGGUUUUGAACAUACUACUGUAUUGCAAUUCUUCAUCUGUGGUAACUAACUGGGUAGCGGUGUUUUCAUUUUCCCUUUACUGUAAGUGAUAAGAUACGACGGAAAGGAUGCACGGACUAAAUGUUUAUUUGAAGUGAAAUUAACAUAUUUUAGGGAUAACAAGACUGUUUUCAUAUUUCAGUGUUUUUUAAGUUUAUUUAUCUACCCUUUUAUCAAGAGGAGUAUUUUAAGUGCCUUUUGUGCACAUAAUCAUUGAUUUAUAAAUGGUCUUAUGAUAACUUUUUUUUCUUUAUUUCUUCUUAUAGGCCUACAAAGGGCCUAUAUGUUGUCACUCAGUUGUAAUGUUCAAUAUAAACUUUGGUGUUUUAUUUUUGUAUCCCUUGUAAUGAUCUUCAUGCAUGUACAAACCCCUGGGACCAUCGUGGUCUUAUCAAUGAUAGGAUAUAUGUGCAUAUUUAAUGUACGCAUCCAUAUAAAUAAUUACUAUGAACUUUUUUAUGUCAUCCCAUCAGGGUGAAUGGUACGGUAGGCUAUAGACUAAAUGUAUGAAAUCUAUUUCGUUUUUGAUCUUGUCGAUUCACAGAAGGCUUAUCAAAACUAGGCAACUGUCGAGUUGUCUACAAAAAAUUAAGUAAAAAAAAAACUGCGGCUCAGUAGAAUCAUCUCAGAUCGCCUGUGUUUAUAGAUUUUCCAGCUGUUAUUCCUCCCGAUGGUUUGGUUGAGUGACGCCCAUGUUACUCUUUUCCUCUUACCUGAGGUAGCCUAAUUCACCCUUUAAUGCUAAUGCUAAAGCAAACUCUACAGAAUAUUCUGCCCCCUGUCCACUUGCACGGUUUAUAAAGCGCUCAUUGCUCCCCUCUCCCUCUCUAAGCUAUGUACGUGAUGUUCAAGAAUGUGCAUUUGAGUUCUGGAAUGUAUGAAAAAAAAAAUGAUUAAGCCGUGUAUGAUUGCUACGAUAAAAACGAACCUAUAAUCAUCGUAAAAACGACCAUUGACAGA